Long non-coding RNA from Daphnia pulex (common water flea), 1145 nucleotides. RefSeq lists it as uncharacterized. The record is from RefSeq and is a predicted model, not a curated record. NCBI's taxonomy places the organism in Eukaryota, Metazoa, Arthropoda, Branchiopoda, Diplostraca, Daphniidae. The transcript has 4 exons.
GUUCUAAAGAAAACGGAAGAAUAGUUUUUUGGAAACGUGGCUGCAAGAAAAAUAGCAAAUUUAAAUUAUAAAAGUUUGGUCGUCGUGUCAACUCUGCUGGUCGCUUCUCUUCAUAGAAUAUGAGCUAAAUACACACUCCAUGCUGUUUGGCAGAUCUCAGACGAGAGCCAGUCAUCAUAACUACAAGAUUAUAUGUAUUUUUACUUGUGCUUCAUGUCACCAGCACUCUCACAAGUCUUGUCAUCAGCAACAAUCUCACUAUAUCAUCGAUAAACAGCAUCCCUAUUGAUUGGCGAAACUACAGAUAUGUUGGUCGCAUUCUUCCCCUUUUCUUUGAAUCCCUUAGACUGUCCUCGUGUAUACCCAUGUGAGUGUGGGUGUAUUCAUGAAGUCAUUCUUUCCCCUAUACCCUGCCUGGUGGAUUCAACUCUUCUCUUCUACGGCCCAAUGAAGCACUUCAGGAUGCCUGGCUGUGGAUUUCCCAGGCUUAAAGGUUGACAGUUGACUGACUUGCUCACCGUCAGCAAACGAGAAGGUGCGGAGUCGACAAGGUGAGCUCGCGCGGGCCAAAUCUUCGAUGAAUAUCAUCGAAUGCCGUCCAACUGAUGCCAGCAACGGACCUCUUUUUCUUUUUAUUAUUAUCAGUUGUAUGUGUGUGUGUGUGUGAAUGCGAAAGGAAUCAGAAAAACGGAACACAAAUCUCUUUCUCUCGUUUAACUCGGAUAGAUUUUCUCCCUUUCCAAUUCGAUAAUAAUACGCGGCAGAGCCGGCCGCAGGCCGUAGAUACACACACACACACAGUACGUACGCUAUCUAGGGCCCCCUAUCUGAUGGGAUUCCUACGGCUAUAUGUAUAUCUUGAUGGAUGUGUACAACAAUCCGAUACGUGUUUUUACAGGCUGUGUUCAAGUCACUUUACUUUCUUUGACUUUCUUUUGCUGCUGCUGCCAGACGAGCGCGAGUUUAUCACUGGAGCGACCUCCAUACAAAACUGUACAGGUGCUGCUCAGACCCCUUUACAUGCAACUUGUUUGAACACAUAAACAUCCUUAGCAUGAGAUAUGUAUAGGGAUAAAUAAGCUCAAAAUUCUCUAAACUUUUUUAUCGCGUUUCGGCUGUGUGUAUCUGUAAUUUUUGAUUGCGAA